RNAcentral lists this ribosomal RNA (212 nucleotides) under Triticum aestivum (bread wheat). Its description in RNAcentral is "partial small subunit ribosomal RNA". Lineage: Eukaryota; Viridiplantae; Streptophyta; Magnoliopsida; Poales; Poaceae. The record is from RNAcentral.
GGAGUUUUUUCUGGGUUGUUACGACCCUAAAAGCACUACUGAACAGAGGAACCAGUUGCGGCAACAGAGAAGGUUCUGUUUUAUUUCACUCUUCAUUUGCAUCUUACUUUCGUCCUCUCAUCUAAGUCCAUUUUCAUCUCAUUACAGUUUCACUUUCCAUUACGAUGCAUAAUUUUUACAAUCUAGCAAAACACUCCCCAAUCACCUUUUUU